Molecule: ribosomal RNA, 253 nt
Filed under: uncultured bacterium
Lineage: Bacteria
Description: partial 16S ribosomal RNA
Rfam family: Bacterial small subunit ribosomal RNA
Source: RNAcentral
UACAGAGGAGCCAAGCGUUGUCCGGAUUGACUGGGCGUAAAGCGCACGCAGGCGGACGCGCGCGUGGGGUGUGAAAUCUGGCCGCUUAACGGCCAGGCGCCAUCCCAUACGGCGCGUCUGGAGUGAUGCAGAGGUCGAUGGAAUUGCCGGUGUAGUGGUGAAAUGCGUAGAGAUCGGCAGGAACACCCAGGGGGAAACCAGUCGACUGGGCAGCACCUGACGCUGAGGUGCGAGAGCGUGGGGAGCGAACGGG